UGGCUCAGUGGUAGAGUGCUUGCCUUACAUGCAUGAGGCCUUGGGUUCAAUGUCUCAG
RNAcentral lists this transfer RNA (58 nucleotides) under Dipodomys ordii (Ord's kangaroo rat). It matches the Rfam family "tRNA", at positions 8 to 63 of the family's 71-position model. Rfam says of the family: Transfer RNA (tRNA) molecules are approximately 80 nucleotides in length. Lineage: Eukaryota; Metazoa; Chordata; Mammalia; Rodentia; Heteromyidae. The record is from Rfam by way of RNAcentral.